Molecule: ribosomal RNA, 484 nt
Filed under: uncultured bacterium
Lineage: Bacteria
Description: partial 16S ribosomal RNA
Rfam family: Bacterial small subunit ribosomal RNA
Source: RNAcentral
AUUGAACGCUGGCGGCAGGCCUAACACAUGCAAGUCGAGCGGAUGAAGGGAGCUUGCUCCUGGAUUCAGCGGCGGACGGGUGAGUAAUGCCUAGGAAUCUGCCUGGUAGUGGGGGAUAACGUCCGGAAACGGGCGCUAAUACCGCAUACGUCCUGAGGGAGAAAGUGGGGGAUCUUCGGACCUCACGCUAUCAGAUGAACCUAGGUCGGAUUAGCUAGUUGGUGGGUUAAAGGCCUACCAAGGCGACCAUCCGUAACUGGUCUGAGAGGAUGAUCAGUCACACUGGAACUGAGACACGGUCCAGACUACUACGGGAGGCAGCAGUCGGGAAUAUUGGACAAUGGGCGAAAGCCUGGUCCAGCCAUGGCGCGUGUGUGAAGAAGGUCUUCGGAUUGUAAAGCCCUUUAAGUUGGGAGGAAGCGCAGUAAGUUAAUACCUUGCUGUUUUGACGUUACCAACAGAAUAAGCACCGGCUAACUUCGUG